RNAcentral lists this ribosomal RNA (450 nucleotides) under uncultured bacterium. Its description in RNAcentral is "partial 16S ribosomal RNA". It matches the Rfam family "Bacterial small subunit ribosomal RNA", at positions 354 to 796 of the family's 1533-position model. The record is from RNAcentral.
GUGGGGAAUAUUGGACAAUGGGCGAAAGCCUGAUCCAGCCAUGCCGCGUGUGUGAAGAAGGUCUUCGGAUUGUAAAGCACUUUAAGUUGGGAGGAAGGGCAGUAAGUUAAUACCUUGCUGUUUUGACGUUACCGACAGAAUAAGCACCGGCUAACUUCGUGCCAGCAGCCGCGGUAAUACGAAGGGUGCAAGCGUUAAUCGGAAUUACUGGGCGUAAAGCGCGCGUAGGUGGUUUUGUAAGUUGGAGGUGAAAUCCCCGGGCUCAACCUGGGAACUGCCUCCAAAACUGCAUGACUAGAGUACGGUAGAGGGUAGUGGAAUUUCCUGUGUAGCGGCGAAAUGCGUAGAUAUAGGAAGGAACACCAGUGGCGAAGGCGACUACCUGGACUGAUACUGACACUGAGGUGCGAAAGCGUGGGGAGCAAACAGGAUUAGAAACCCGUGUAGUCC